Molecule: ribosomal RNA, 457 nt
Filed under: uncultured bacterium
Lineage: Bacteria
Description: bacterial SSU rRNA
Rfam family: Bacterial small subunit ribosomal RNA
Source: RNAcentral
AUUGAACGCUGGCGGCAUGCCUUACACAUGCAAGUCGAACGGCAGCGGACCUUCGGGUGCCGGCGAGUGGCGAACGGGUGAGUAAUGCAUCGGAACGUGCCAUUGAGUGGGGAUAACGUAGCGAAAGUUACGCUAAUACCGCAUAUUCUGUGAGCAGGAAAGCAGGGGACCGCAAGGCCUUGCGCUCUUUGAGCGGCCGAUGUCAGAUUAGCUAGUUGGUGAGGUAAAGGCUUACCAAGGCGACGAUCUGUAGCGGGUCUGAGAGGAUGAUCCGCCACACUGGAACUGAGACACGGUCCAGACUCCUACGGGAGGCAGCAGUGGGGAAUUUUGGACAAUGGGCGCAAGCCUGAUCCAGCCAUGCCGCGUGAGUGAAGAAGGCCUUCGGGUUGUAAACCGCUUUUCUGAGGGACGAGCGAGGACGGUACCUUAGGAAUAAGUCUCGGCUAACUACGUG